Weeksella virosa DSM 16922 is the source of this 28-nucleotide regulatory RNA element. It matches the Rfam family "L19-Flavobacteria ribosomal protein leader". Lineage: Bacteria; Pseudomonadati; Bacteroidota; Flavobacteriia; Flavobacteriales; Weeksellaceae. The record is from Rfam.
UAACCUCUGACGAAAGACGUGAAUGUUG